Molecule: ribosomal RNA, 465 nt
Filed under: uncultured bacterium
Lineage: Bacteria
Description: partial 16S ribosomal RNA
Rfam family: Bacterial small subunit ribosomal RNA
Source: RNAcentral
GACGAACGCUGGCGGCGUGCUUAACACAUGCAAGUCGUACGGUAAGGCCCUUUCGGGGGUACACGAGUGGCGAACGGGUGAGUAACACGUGAGUAACCUGCCCACAACUUUGGGAUAACGCUAGGAAACUGGUGCUAAUACUGGAUAUGUGCUCCUGCUGCAUGGUGGGGGUUGGAAAGCUCCGGCGGUUGUGGAUGGACUCGCGGCCUAUCAGCUUGUUGGUGGGGUAGUGGCCUACCAAGGCGGCGACGGGUAGCCGGCCUGAGAGGGUGACCGGCCACAUUGGGAUUGAGAUACGGCCCAGACUCCUACGGGAGGCAGCAGUGGGGAAUAUUGCACAAUGGGCGCAAGCCUGAUGCAGCAACGCCGCGUGCGGGAUGACGGCCUUCGGGUUGUAAACCGCUUUCAGCAGGGACGAAGCUUUUUGUGACGGUACCUGCAGAAGAAGCACCGGCUAACUACGUG